GCCGGUAUGGCGGAAUAGGCAGACGCGACGGACUUAAAAUCCGUUUCGACCAAACUCGAGUGCCGGUUCGACCCCGGCUACCGGCA
RNAcentral lists this transfer RNA (86 nucleotides) under Lachnospiraceae bacterium. RNAcentral's name for it is "tRNA-Leu". It matches the Rfam family "tRNA". From Rfam's summary of the family: Transfer RNA (tRNA) molecules are approximately 80 nucleotides in length. Lineage: Bacteria; Bacillati; Bacillota; Clostridia; Lachnospirales; Lachnospiraceae. The record is from RNAcentral.